RNAcentral lists this ribosomal RNA (305 nucleotides) under uncultured bacterium. RNAcentral describes it as "partial 16S ribosomal RNA". It matches the Rfam family "Bacterial small subunit ribosomal RNA", at positions 508 to 807 of the family's 1533-position model. The record is from RNAcentral.
ACAGCAGCCGCCACGGGAAUACAGAGGGUGCGAGCGUUAAUCGGAUUUACUGGGCGUAAAGCGUGCGUAGGCGGCUUCUUAAGUCGGAUGUGAAAUCCCUGAGCUUAACUUAGGAAUUGCAUUUGAUACUGGGAAGCUAGAGUAUGGGAGAGGAUGGUAGAAUUCCAGGUGUAGCGGUGAAAUGCGUAGAGAUCUGGAGGAAUACCGAUGGCGAAGGCAGCCAUCUGGCCUAAUACUGACGCUGAGGUACGAAAGCAUGGGGAGCAAACAGGAUUAGAUACCCCUGUAGUCCCUGUCUCUUAUAC